UACAGAGGGUGCAAGCGUUGUUCGGAAUUAUUGGGCGUAAAGGGCGCGUAGGCGGUGCGGUAAGUCUGUAGUGAAAUCUCUGGGCUCAACUCAGAGUCUGCUAUAGAAACUGCCGUGCUCGAGUGUGGGAGAGGUGAGUGGAAUUCCCGGUGUAGCGGUGAAAUGCGUAGAUAUCUGGAGGAACACCGGUGGCGAAGGCGGCAUCCUGGACCGACACUGACGCUGAGGAGCGAAAGCCAGGGGAGCAAACGGG
RNAcentral lists this ribosomal RNA (253 nucleotides) under uncultured bacterium. RNAcentral's name for it is "partial 16S ribosomal RNA". It matches the Rfam family "Bacterial small subunit ribosomal RNA", at positions 524 to 776 of the family's 1533-position model. The record is from RNAcentral.